Molecule: small nuclear RNA, 104 nt
Organism: Cebus imitator (Panamanian white-faced capuchin)
Lineage: Eukaryota; Metazoa; Chordata; Mammalia; Primates; Cebidae
Source: RefSeq, a predicted model, not a curated record
GUGCUCGCUUCGGCAGCAUAUAUAGUAAAAUUGGAAAGACACAGAGAUUAGCAUGGCCCCUGCACAAGGAUGACACGCAAAUUCGUGAAGCAUUCCGUUUUUUU